GCGUCCGUAGUCUAAUGGUAUGAUAGGAGCUUCCCAAGCUUCUGAUCCGGGUUCAAUUCCCGGCGGACGCA
RNAcentral lists this transfer RNA (71 nucleotides) under Candidatus Iainarchaeum sp. Its description in RNAcentral is "tRNA-Gly". It matches the Rfam family "tRNA". Rfam says of the family: Transfer RNA (tRNA) molecules are approximately 80 nucleotides in length. Their secondary structure includes four short double-helical elements and three loops (D, anti-codon, and T loops). Further hydrogen bonds mediate the characteristic L-shaped molecular structure. tRNAs have two regions of fundamental functional importance: the anti-codon, which is responsible for specific mRNA codon recognition, and the 3' end, to which the tRNAs corresponding amino acid is attached (by aminoacyl-tRNA synthetases). tRNAs cope with the degeneracy of the genetic code in two manners: having more than one tRNA (with a specific anti-codon) for a particular amino acid; and 'wobble' base-pairing, i.e. permitting non-standard base-pairing at the 3rd anti-codon position. The record is from RNAcentral. Lineage: Archaea; Nanobdellati; Candidatus Iainarchaeota; Candidatus Iainarchaeia; Candidatus Iainarchaeales; Candidatus Iainarchaeaceae.